RNAcentral lists this ribosomal RNA (459 nucleotides) under uncultured bacterium. RNAcentral's name for it is "partial 16S ribosomal RNA". It matches the Rfam family "Bacterial small subunit ribosomal RNA", at positions 338 to 795 of the family's 1533-position model. The record is from RNAcentral.
CCUACGGGUGGCAGCAGUGAGGAAUAUUGGUCAAUGGGCGAGAGCCUGAACCAGCCAAGUCGCGUGAGGGAAGAAGGUUCUAUGGAUUGUAAACCUCUUUUGCCGGGGAGCAAAAAGCGGUACGUGUACCGCAUCGCGAGUACCCGGAGAAAAAGCAUCGGCUAACUCCGUGCCAGCAGCCGCGGUAAUACGGAGGAUGCGAGCGUUAUCCGGAUUUAUUGGGUUUAAAGGGUGCGUAGGCGGCGAGUUAAGUCAGCGGUAAAAUUUCGGGGCUCAACCCCGACAAGCCGUUGAAACUGGCGGGCUAGAGUGGGCGUGAGGUAUGCGGAAUGCGUGGUGUAGCGGUGAAAUGCAUAGAUAUCACGCAGAACUCCGAUUGCGAAGGCAGCAUACCGGCGCCCAACUGACGCUCAGGCACGAAAGCGUGGGUAUCGAACAGGAUUAGAUACCCGAGUAGUC